RNAcentral lists this transfer RNA (22 nucleotides) under Pfeiffera ianthothele. RNAcentral describes it as "partial transfer RNA-Gly". Lineage: Eukaryota; Viridiplantae; Streptophyta; Magnoliopsida; Caryophyllales; Cactaceae. The record is from RNAcentral.
AUACAAUAAGGGAACUGUAGCG